CCUGAGGCGAUUGGCUGAGCGCUGUGGAACCAGUCUUCUCAGCUGCCUCUCGGAGGCUGGCGGUUCCCCUCGGCUUCUGUGGAACCCCGCUUCCAUGUCCCCAGUGGACACAGCAUCCCGGAACCUCUACGCCCAAGGCCACUAGCUUGAGGACGCCCGCUUUCACCUCAUGUUCUUCCGCCUCAACAGACACAAGAUGGGGGAGUGCGCGGGCACUUGUGAAGAUGCUUCUAUGUGCUAGAGGUGCCUUUGCGGCGCGGGGCCAGGGCCUCGGUGGGAGGCGGGCCUGUGUCUCAGGGACUCCUUCGCCAAAAGGAGCUGGCAUGUCACAGGAGGUGUGGAGGACACCCAAGACUGGGCCUCGCUCCUGGACAGCAGCCAGGGACAGCCAUGAGGAAGGACAGUCCUUGGAUUGAAAGGGGAUCCCACAGGGCCGACUGUGGCACAGGCUGCCCAAGGAUAUUUUGCUCGAGUCCAUGGCAUCUCUCAGCUGAUAAAAGCAUUUCUACAGAAGAAAGAAUGUUAUUGUCAAAUUCUAAAUCUUGGGACUCAGAUGGAGACCACCUUCUGGAGAUUAAAGACAGAGAUCACAAGUAGGCAGAGAGGCAGGCAGAGAUAGAGGAAGAGAAGCAGGCUCCCCGCUGAACAGAGAGCCUGAUGUGGGGCUCGAUCCCAGGACCGAAGGCAGAGGCUUUAACCCACUGAGCCACCCAGGCGCCCCCCAGGAAAGUAUUUUGAGGUCCACUUUCCAGUGAUGGUCAUGAGAAAGCUGCACUGCAUCAGGCACAUCUUCUGGUCCUGCACCUUAGAGUUUCUGAUUUUGCCAUCAUAGUAUCCGAAGCUCAUGACCAAGAAAGAAUUUUUCAGCUGUCUCUGGUGCUGCAAAAAGGCCUCCCUCGGUCAGGAGUCCUGGGACACUUGGCAAGGUAAUCUGACUGUGCUGGACACUUUCCACAGUAGACCAGGUUAGUUUUGUGACCUGCAGGGAUGUUCUCCUGGGUUGGUGGCCGGGACUCUGGCCUAGGCCCUUCCCUGGGCGGAGUGGAUGGCAGUGGAACUUCCUUCACGGGCCACACUUUCAGUUUCUCCAGAGAUGUGCUGGACUUUGCUGAUGUCAUCUGGGUAUAGCAAAAACCAACAGACCCUCCAAAUGCGAUCCUAACACUGAAGGCGGAAGUGACACAGUGGAAGAACUUGUCCCAGUCUUCAUCGCAGGGACUGAGGAACUCAGACUCAGCCGCAGUCUGGAAACAGAAGAACACCGUCAGGGACAGAACAGCAUCAAGUGAGGGAGAUGGACGACCACAUCAGCUUGGAGUGGCGGGAUUACAGAAUAUCUCCCAGGAGCUUCCCCAGGAAAAGCGUUUGGAUGUUCGGAGCAUAACUGCCACACCCUUCAUAGCUUGGUAGCCGCCUUGACCUCUGCUGGCAUCGAGCAAUAAAGAAACACAGUCAAAGGUCAGCGCAGAGUCCCCCUUGACUCUAUCCAGUUUUCACUUUCCCAUACUUGGGCUCACCCUGCCAGGCUGAUCUUGUAAGAACUAGAUUUACCCUUGAGUUGACAAUGUUUAUGGAGUUUCUACCCAAGGCACCACAGCAGGCGCUGGAGAAAGACGACAAGGGCUCUCUCAAGGCCUUUCGUUUACUGGAGAACAAGAACAAGUAAAUAGGCCACUGCAUCAUAGAAAACCGGGUGAUGUGUGAACUUAUGAAAAUCCCCCAGAUUGGGGCCCUCCAGUCUCUGUUGGAGCAUCAGUAGCAUCAUUGAAGGGCUUUUAGAAGCAGAGAACUUUGCCCGGAAAGCUGAAGAAUGAGUAGGUGGCAGCUACAGGGCUGGUGUGGUGAAAGGAGCUCCGGAAUAUUCCAGGGAGGGGUGAACAGGUAGGAAUCCUCAGCCUGCUCUGGAAUCCCAAAACAGGGGAUCUAUGGCCGAAAUGGAAGUGUGAAGAGAGAAGCUGUUGCAGAGGAAGCUGGAGCCAAGGAGAGCCUGACCGGCCUGGGAGCUUGAAAAGGCUCAGAAUGGGGGCGCCUGGGUAGCUCAGUCGGUUCAGCAUCUGCCUUUGGUUCAGGUCAUGAUCGCAGGGUCCUGGGAGAGGGCCCCAGGUCAAGCUGUCUGCUCCGUGGGAAGCCUGCUUCCUCCUCUCCCAUUGCUUGUGUUCUCGCUCUGUCAAAUAAAUAAAAUAAAUAAAAGCCUCAGAUGUUUGUGCCAAAAGAGCAAACACCCCUUUCCUUAUAGGGUGUAUAAACAGGCCAGAACGACAAUGUGACAAAUCUCUCUUGACCCUCACCGGAUAUUGGUUUCACAAGACAUGUUACUAAGACUCCUAAGGAAUUAUCUUAGAAUUCAUUUACAAAUUCUCCAUUGAAACAUUAGCCCCCACACCUGAUGAGGGAGCAGAAGGCUAGUUGAGGUCAAGGCAGAAGCUGACACCCUGCACUCCCCCCUCCCAUGCCUUGGUGGGACCUGUGUGACCUUCGUCCAGGAAACUUCCAACCAUCUUCAUGUUCAUUCCUUGCUAGAAGGUAAAACCACCUCACUUGACCAUGGCAAGGUCUCCAGUAUCAUGUAGGUCCUCUUUAGCAUAGGAAAGUGCUUUUGAAACCCUUCCCUUCCCUUUCCUCACCUCCCCCACCUUCCAAGUGUGUAUCAGUUGCCCCCACAACCCUGAUGCAGCUAUUUCUUCCCACAGACCCUGUCCCUGUGCUUUAAUAAAACCACUGUUUUGCACCAAA
Long non-coding RNA from Mustela lutreola (European mink), 2733 nucleotides. RefSeq lists it as uncharacterized. NCBI's taxonomy places the organism in Eukaryota, Metazoa, Chordata, Mammalia, Carnivora, Mustelidae. The transcript is spliced from 6 exons. The record is from RefSeq and is a predicted model, not a curated record.